This 468-nucleotide ribosomal RNA is filed under the name uncultured bacterium. RNAcentral describes it as "partial 16S ribosomal RNA". It matches the Rfam family "Bacterial small subunit ribosomal RNA", at positions 28 to 507 of the family's 1533-position model. The record is from RNAcentral.
GACGAACGCUGGCGGCGUGCUUAACACAUGCAAGUCGAACGGAAAGGCCCUGCUUUUGUGGGGUGCUCGAGUGGCGAACGGGUGAGUAACACGUGAGUAACCUGCCCUUGACUUUGGGAUAACUUCAGGAAACUGGGGCUAAUACCGGAUAGGAGCUCCUGCUGCAUGGUGGGGGUUGGAAAGUUUCGGCGGUUGGGGAUGGACUCGCGGCUUAUCAGCUUGUUGGUGGGGUAGUGGCUUACCAAGGCUUUGACGGGUAGCCGGCCUGAGAGGGUGACCGGCCACAUUGGGACCGAGAUACGGCCCAGACUCCUACGGGAGGCAGCAGUGGGGAAUAUUGCACAAAGGGCGGGAGCCUGAUGCAGCAACGCCGCGUGCGGGAUGACGGCCUUCGGGGUGUAAACCGCUUUCGCCUGUGACGAAGCGUGAGUGACGGUAAUGGGUAAAGAAGCACCGGCUAACUACGUG